This 71-nucleotide transfer RNA is filed under the name Urocitellus parryii (Arctic ground squirrel). RNAcentral describes it as "Spermophilus parryii (Arctic ground squirrel) tRNA". It matches the Rfam family "tRNA". Rfam says of the family: Transfer RNA (tRNA) molecules are approximately 80 nucleotides in length. Their secondary structure includes four short double-helical elements and three loops (D, anti-codon, and T loops). Further hydrogen bonds mediate the characteristic L-shaped molecular structure. tRNAs have two regions of fundamental functional importance: the anti-codon, which is responsible for specific mRNA codon recognition, and the 3' end, to which the tRNAs corresponding amino acid is attached (by aminoacyl-tRNA synthetases). tRNAs cope with the degeneracy of the genetic code in two manners: having more than one tRNA (with a specific anti-codon) for a particular amino acid; and 'wobble' base-pairing, i.e. permitting non-standard base-pairing at the 3rd anti-codon position. Lineage: Eukaryota; Metazoa; Chordata; Mammalia; Rodentia; Sciuridae. The record is from Rfam by way of RNAcentral. RNAcentral also lists the same sequence under 1 other name.
UGGGGUGUGGUUCAGUGGUAGAGUGCUUGCUGGCAUAUGUGAGGCACUGAGUUCGAUUCUCAGCACCACAU